This 351-nucleotide unclassified non-coding RNA is filed under the name soil metagenome. RNAcentral describes it as "partial contains 5.8S ribosomal RNA, internal transcribed spacer 2, and large subunit ribosomal RNA". The stretch from base 1 to 120 matches the Rfam family "5.8S ribosomal RNA", at positions 35 to 154 of the family's 154-position model. The record is from RNAcentral.
GAUGAAGAACGCAACGAAAUGCGAUAAGUAAUGUGAAUUGCAGAAUUCAGUGAAUCAUCGAAUCUUUGAACGCACAUUGCGCCCGCCAGUAUUCUGGCGGGCAUGCCUGUUCGAGCGUCAUUACAACCCUCAGGCCUCCGGGCCUGGCGUUGGGGAUCGGCGGAGCCCCCCGUGGGCACACGCCGUCCCCCAAAUACAGUGGCGGUCCCGCCGCAGCCUCCGUUGCGUAGUAGCUAACACCUCGCAACUGGAGAGCGGCGCGGCCACGCCGUAAAACACCCAACUUCUGAAUGUUGACCUCGAAUCAGGUAGGAAUACCCGCUGAACUUAAGCAUAUCAAUAAGCGGAGGA